This 425-nucleotide long non-coding RNA is filed under the name Mustela putorius furo (domestic ferret). Its description in RNAcentral is "lncRNA (ENSMPUG00000028388.1)". Lineage: Eukaryota; Metazoa; Chordata; Mammalia; Carnivora; Mustelidae. The record is from RNAcentral.
UGGUCCCUGGACUUUUCCAAGGCUUCACAGAGAAUUUUAGAAGGGGUCCUACAUUCCAGUAAAAUCCUGGCUUAGGAUUCAAUAGAUAAAAGUACAGAAAUGCUUGGGAAAGUGGCUGUGUUGGAUAUCGCUGAAGAAGAGAACAUUUGAACUUGGAACUCCUGAAGUAGUGUGUGUGUAGACUGCUAUAACCAUGUGGAAUAAGCCACAGGAGCUGGAUUCCAGGAGAGCGCAGCAGAGUCCACGCCAGAGGCUGCAUUUCUUGGACGGAACCUCCCUGCCCCAGGCAUCCGGAGCACCAGACGGGCUAGUCCUUGCCCUGGUUGGGGGAAGGCGGGAGGGGGGUCUCUUUGGCUUUCUCCUCCCUGCAGCCUGAGGGAGCUCCGUGAGGACCCACUAGCGGCUUCUGGAACUUUACACCCAGC